This 461-nucleotide ribosomal RNA is filed under the name uncultured bacterium. RNAcentral describes it as "partial 16S ribosomal RNA". It matches the Rfam family "Bacterial small subunit ribosomal RNA", at positions 339 to 795 of the family's 1533-position model. The record is from RNAcentral.
CUACGGGCGGCACCAGUAGGGAAUAUUGCGCAAUGGGCGAAAGCCUGACGCAGCGACGCCGCGUGAGUGAUGAAGGUCCUCUGGAUUGUAAAGCUCUGUAAGGAGGGAAGAACCGCCUGGUGUAACGGCCAGGUCUGACGGUACCUCCAAAGUAAGCACCGGCUAAAUAAGUGCCAGCAGCCGCGGUAAUACUUAUGGUGCGAGCGUUGUCCGGAAUGACUGGGCGUAAAGGGUGCGUAGGCGGACUUUCAAGUCAGGUGUGAAAUCCCCGGGCUUAACCUGGGAACUGCGCUUGAAACUGGAAGUCUAGAGUAUGUGAGGGGUUAGCGGAAUUCCCGGAGUAGCGGUGAAAUGCGUAGAGAUCGGGAAGAACACCAAUGGCGAAGGCGGCUAACUGGCACAUGACUGACGCUGAGGCACGAAAGCGUAAAGAGCGAACAGGAUUAGAUACCCCAGUAGUC